Molecule: transfer RNA, 796 nt
Filed under: uncultured cyanobacterium
Lineage: Bacteria; Bacillati; Cyanobacteriota
Description: partial contains 16S ribosomal RNA, 16S-23S ribosomal RNA intergenic spacer, and 23S ribosomal RNA
Rfam family: tRNA (bases 253-325)
Source: RNAcentral
CAGGGAGACAAAACUGAUUAUGAUGCUUGAAUAUUAAUUUUUAGGCCAUAAUCCUGUCACCUUAGGUCGAUCGGUACCUCAAUUAAAUAAAAAAAUCAAGAAAUUGGUUUUAAUUUAUUGAAUUCAGUUCCUAAACUUUGUCUAGGUCACACCCAGCAAUGGUACUCCUGGGCCAUUAGUUCAGGUGGUUAGAGCGCACCCCUGAUAAGGGUGAGGUCCCUGGUUCAAGUCCAGGAUGGCCCAUUCGGUGUUGGGGGUAUAGCUCAGUUGGUAGAGCGCCUGCUUUGCAAGCAGGAUGUCAGCGGUUCGAGUCCGCUUACCUCCACUGAUCAACCUCCUUUCAGCGAAGUCAAGGAGAAUAUUGUUUAUAGGUGAUCUAGAAUUUGUUCACGAUGAAUGAACCUAGCUUCUUAACAUUUUUCUAAUUAAUUUAGUAUUUAUUGAUAGGAUGCUGGGCUCGCUGCAAUUUAAUUGCAGGGGAUUCAGCAGAACCUUGACAACUGCAUAGGUGAGUCUGGAAAGAAUAAAGCAUCUCAUGGAUGCAUUGAUUCUUUUAAUUAUAUGUAUGCUUUUGAUUUAAUUAAAAGCAUAAUUAUAGUCUAGAAUUAAUGCUAAUUUUUUGAGAAAUAGCCGAGACUUUAUAACGCUCUUUCAUUGUUUAAAAGACAUUGAGAGUAAUUUUUUGAUUUGUUCUUAUCUUUAAUUGAAACUUAAGAUUAUUUCUUUGGUUUUUAUUUGAUAAAGCAAAAUUAGAAAUAAAACUGUUUAAAAAACAUUGCGUUAUAGAGAAAUUAAU